Molecule: long non-coding RNA, 1124 nt
Organism: Rhododendron vialii
Lineage: Eukaryota; Viridiplantae; Streptophyta; Magnoliopsida; Ericales; Ericaceae
Exons: 5
Source: RefSeq, a predicted model, not a curated record
UUCAUAAACUCGUAUGAGUUGGAUCUCAAUCCUUUCAGCGUUCCCAGUUUUUGCACAAUCUUCGGCAGUUCAGCUCUUGCUCGCUUCAUCAAAGUGGGGGCUAAAUGCAUGUGGUUACAUGCUGACAAAGAUCCUUAUUAGGUAUCGCAAGGCCUCCUUUGAUGAUCUGAUUCAAGGCCUGGACUGGUCUGUCUUCAAAAUCAUGACAGAAUGCACAGGAAUCAGUUCUUGUUGUCUCCAUUGAUUCUCCAUCUGGGUGGCAUGUUGAAUAAGGAGAUAUCAGCGGAAAAGGCAUUGAACCUCACACGCUGGUAUAUUUUUGAGUACUCAACGUCUUGUGGUUGACACUUAUCGUUCUCAGUCAGAAUGAAUGCAAGUUUAAAUUGUUCUAGUUUGCUUCACCAUUCCAGAGUUUUGAGUGGAGAAAUUUUGGAUCACAGUCCUCACCACUUUAUAGGUGGCCAAUUUGUUCCACCAUCGGCGUAGGCUUCAACUGGCACCUCCAUGUGUGCCCAAAUUCGAAAGCCUCCACAUACUGAUACAUCAGCUGAGAGAGAGCUGUAUUUCUCCCAAGUAUCUUGCGGAUCAGUUCGUUGGGCCUUGUAUUGCUAGGAGGAGUUUAUCCAAAAAAGGUGGUUUUUCUGAACAAGAGAAGAAGAAGCCAAAAAUCAUUUUUGGCUGGCACGCCAAGGAUGAAAACCAGAAGGGUCGCGAAAUAUCUGAAAACCCUUGUGCAUCACUGGUAUUUUACCGGAAUCGUCUAAAUUUCCUAGUAAACUUGUUUUUGUUCUUGCUACUUGAACAAACUAUUGUAAGUAUGGCACAGGAGUCUGUAACUAGUGUGCUUUAAUGAUCUUAGUCCUUGUGCAAAGCAAAUUGUUCUUUAGUUCGUUGAAGCGGCUUGUGUUGAAUUGGUCAGUGGACAUCACUAGUGCCCAAGCUAUUUUCUUUGAAUCACAAUUUUAUUCUGGUUGAACCUAGCAUUGGCAGAUUUAAAGAUGGAGGCUGUGUUUUGAUCACCUUCAGAAAGCAGUUGGUUAUGAUUUUUUCGACUUUCUUUAGUAUAGAACUGGAUCACCUUUGCCUGACCUAAAGGUGAGGUAAGGUGCCGACAACACAACACA